This 721-nucleotide ribosomal RNA is filed under the name uncultured bacterium. RNAcentral describes it as "bacterial SSU rRNA". It matches the Rfam family "Bacterial small subunit ribosomal RNA", at positions 777 to 1500 of the family's 1533-position model. The record is from RNAcentral.
AUUAGAUACCCUGGGUAGUCCACGCCGUAAACGAUGAAUACUAGGUGUGGGGGGUCUGACCCCCUCCGUGCCGGAGUUAACACAAUAAGUAUUCCACCUGGGGAGUACGGCCGCAAGGCUGAAACUCAAAGGAAUUGACGGGGGCCCGCACAAGCAGUGGAUUAUGUGGUUUAAUUCGACGCAACGCGAAGAACCUUACCGGGAUUUGACAUCCUACUAACGAAGCAGAGAUGCAUUAGGUGCCCUUCGGGGAAAGUAGAGACAGGUGGUGCAUGGUUGUCGUCAGCUCGUGUCGUGAGAUGUUGGGUUAAGUCCCGCAACGAGCGCAACCCUUAUUGUUAGUUGCUACGCAAGAGCACUCUAGCGAGACUGCCGUUGACAAAACGGAGGAAGGUGGGGACGACGUCAAAUCAUCAUGCCCCUUAUGUCCCGGGCUACACACGUAAUACAAUGGCGGCCAACAGAGCGAAGCAAGACCGCGAGGUGGAGCAAAUCGCUAAAAGCCGUCCCAGUUCGGAUCGCAGGCUGCAACUCGCCUGCGUCAAGUUGGAAUUGCUAGUAAUCGCGGAUCAGCAUGCCGCGGUGAAUACGUUCCCGGGCCUUGUACACACCGCCCGUCACACCAUGAGAGUCGGGAACACCCGAAGUCCGUAGUCUAACCGCAAGGAGGGCGCGGCCGAAGGUGGGUUCGAUAAUUGGGGUGAAGUCGUAACAAGGUAAC